This is a long non-coding RNA of Scatophagus argus, 1010 nucleotides long. RefSeq lists it as uncharacterized. The record is from RefSeq and is a predicted model, not a curated record. The transcript has 5 exons. NCBI's taxonomy places the organism in Eukaryota, Metazoa, Chordata, Actinopteri, Scatophagidae.
ACCCACAGUACAAACAGUGACGCUUGAGCAGUCACAGGUGAGACGCGGUGUGGUCCACGUUACGGAUUUACCAAGGGGGAAAGACAGCCAAAUGUGUGUGUAAUCCGCACCAGGUGUUUUCAGCACGACAGUCUUUGGCGGCACUUUGGAGUCUACGUGUUUGUGUUCAUCUUUUCCGACCUGGAAGUUUCGAGAAGACAACCAGAGAGAGGACUGCGAGCUGCCAAAGCACUGCUAAAAGUACGACGUUACGGCUCCGACCUGCCGCCGCCAUCACCUCGUUUCUCCACGGAGCUGUGGACUGUGCGAGCUGUCACAUCUGUGGGUGAAGACCAAGAGGCGGAUAAACACGCUGCACUGUUCCCGAGCGGACACAAUCUCCAGAGUAAGAAUGUCUUUCCAUGGAUACGGCUAGUCUCUCAGCUUGUCUCAGUCCAAGAGGUGACCCAGUGUUUGGGUGAGUUCCUGCUUCUGGAUGAAGAGACACAGUCUUGGAUCAGGAAACCAUCAGAGUCCAUAAACACCUGCUGCUCAUCUUUACUCACAAUCCUCCCGUGGUGGAGCACCGCGGCCUGCCACUCCCUCUGACGCAUGAAGAAACCACACUGCAGACAAAACACAGAAAGCCUGUGUGUCCAACACAGUCAACGGCAGGCACAGACGGUCUGAAGAUAAACAAGGAGUUGGUAUUCACUGCACUCGCUGGCUGUGUUCAGGCUGUCUGUGAAGGUGUCUUCAGCACCUGACUGUGGAUCUGACUGCUGUUACACCUGCCUCUCCCUGCAUCUGAAUGUGUCCAGCACUUUGGUUUGAACUCCUGCAGAGCUGAAGAAAUCAGACUCACUUUGUGUUUACUGAUGAGCUGACAUGGUGGCUGACGCAACAUCCAUCACAACCACAGCAGAGUCUUUAUGAGUGUUCGUGACUCAUGCCAACGUGUCAUUUGGUCAGUUAUAUCAUGUUAUGAUUUCACUUGAUGUGCUCACAUUAAAGUGUAAGGCUGACAUAAA